This 301-nucleotide ribosomal RNA is filed under the name uncultured bacterium. RNAcentral describes it as "partial 16S ribosomal RNA". It matches the Rfam family "Bacterial small subunit ribosomal RNA", at positions 509 to 807 of the family's 1533-position model. The record is from RNAcentral.
CAGUCGCCACGGUAACACGGAGGGUGCAAGCGUUAAUCGGAAUUACUGGGCGUAAAGCGCACGCAGGCGGUCUGUCAAGUCAGAUGUGAAAUCCCCGGGCUUAACCUGGGAACUGCAUUUGAAACUGGCAGGCUAGAGUCUUGUAGAGGGGGGUAGAAUUCCAGGUGUAGCGGUGAAAUGCGUAGAGAUCUGGAGGAAUACCGGUGGCGAAGGCGGCCCCCUGGACAAAGACUGACGCUCAGGUGCGAAAGCGUGGGGAGCAAACAGGAUUAGAUACCCCAGUAGUCCCUGUCUCUUAUAC